Molecule: long non-coding RNA, 5607 nt
Organism: Peromyscus californicus insignis
Lineage: Eukaryota; Metazoa; Chordata; Mammalia; Rodentia; Cricetidae
Exons: 5
Source: RefSeq, a predicted model, not a curated record
GCAUGUGUGUGUGUGUUCCUAUGGGCGUGGAUGUGCACCUGUGUGUGUGCAUGCAUGUGUGUGUGUGUUCCUAUGGGUGUGGGUGUGCACCUGUGUGUGUUCUUAUGGGUGUGCACUUGUGUGUGGCAGCCAGAGGUUGAUGUUAGGCAUCUUCCUCAGUCACUCAUCACGUUAUUUUUUGAGACAGGAUCUCUCACUGAACUUGGAGGUUACUGAUUGAUUCUGCUAGAUUGAUUGGUCAGUGAGCCCCUCCCACUACUUCUGCUUCCCCAACACUGGGGUUACAGGUUGUGGUAGUUUGAAUGUAGUCAGCCCCCAUGAUCUCAUAGGGAGUGGCACCGUUAGGAGGUGUGGCUUUGCUGGAGUGGGUGUGGCCUUGUUGGAGGAAGUGUGUGACUGUGGGGGCGGGCUUUGAGGUUGCCUCUGCUCAGGCAACUUCCUAUUGCCUGAAAGAUGUAGGACUCAGCUCCUCCAGCACCACAUCUGACUGCACGCCACCAUGCUCCCUAUCAUGAUGAUAAUGGACUGAACCUCUGAAAUGGAGAAUCUCUGACACAAAAUGUAUACACAUCUAUCUCAAAGAUAAAAUUGACAUUAAAGAAGUAACUCAGGCGGUGUGGAAAAAAACAGGAAAAGCUGCAGGAACAUCAAGCUCUGCCCGCUCCAGGCUGAAGGACAAAGAAGCAGGCGUGUGUGGGAUCUGCUUUGAUCACUGGCUGGGAUGGGCUUUGAAAAGGUAUUCAACUGUUCUCAGCCGCACAAUCUUCUUUGGAUCUGAACACGCUGUUCACGGGUUCAGGAUGCAGUGCCAGUUGGUAGGGUGCGACAAAUGAGGAAGAUUCCAGACCUCAGCAGUCAAGGAAGGUCGUCAUGGCCUGGGCUGACAAUGGCUUUCUUCAAACGAAAACACCAGUGUGAAUGGUGGUGGCCCGCGGCACAGACAGUGACAUCAGAAGUCUCAGCAGCUCAGAUCAUCUGUCCUUCUGGGGCCAGCCAAUUCCUUUCCGGGGUAGCUGGACCCAGGAACACCCCAAAUCCCACCCUCAAUCUCCACAGUGGCCUCCAGGCAGAAGAAUUUCAACAGUUCGACCGCUCCACACGGGCUCAGGGUGUGGAAGCAGCUUUGGGCCUUUCUCAUGGGCUUAGGACAGUCUUAGCUGAUGCCUCCUAAACCCUAGCUUUCCUCCCCUCCAGCUAAUCCCCGGACUGCCACCCCUCCCACGGAUCCAGCCCACCUCAAGCUCCCCAGACUGAAAGGCGCAUUCAUGCCCCAGCCAGCUGUUUGUUUAAACUCACCCUGUGUUAGUCCAUGUUAAACGCAACAGAACGAGAAGAAAUGGAAUUUUCUGCCGGCUUUUGAUCAAAGAGAGGACUUAAAAAAAUUCAAGACGGGUUCCUGCAGGACACUGUUAUACACAGGCUGUGCAUUUCUGUGCGCCAGUGUUUAGUUGAUUGGGGGAACAUGUUCUUUAUCCUUUUGAUCCCAGGAAGAAAACACACACACACACACACACACACACACACACACACACACACACACACACACGCAUGCACACACACGCAUGCACACACACGCACACACGCAUAUAUAUAUGCAUACAGAGACACACGUACACAUACAACAUAUGCAUGUGCGCACACUCAUGAACAUGCAUAUCCACAUACACAGACACACAUAUAUGCAUACAUACAUCUAUAACAAACACAUACAUGCACACAUCCCCCUACUGUACACACACUUACAUAUGUUGUGUAUAAAUGCACACACACACACACACACACACACACACACACACACACUACAAUCACAUACAUGCAUGCACACAGACACAGACAUUCAUGCACAUCUCGACACCACAAACACAAAACAAUGGUCAUUCUUUCCCAAGAAAUUCCAGCAAUGGAGGACUGCCCUUUAAUUAGUUUAUCAACAACAGAGAAUUUAAAACAUGGCCCUCCGCAGGAUGCAAACUCUUUUUAUUUUUUCCCCCAAUUCAUGGGAAUUCAGGGUGAAGUCUCACUGGCUGUAAGGCCACAGGAUGCCGACCACAUGCUUGGAACACCCAAUCUCCCUCCAUCUAUGUCUUCAUGGUCAGAGUAGUCAUUAAAUGUUUAUCCCUCCCACUCCAGCUUCGAAGCAAAUGCCACUGAAAUGUCCUUAACAUGUCCCCAUUUCCUGUCAUCAGGGAGUUUGCUAGGGGCACUGGCUGUGAAUUUAAGGCAUGGGCUGCAGAUCUGCAGGAGAAACUGGCUGUCUAUACAGAGAACUUGGGGGUUGCGAUCAGCCUGCAUCCAUGGCAGUCAGUCAAACCAGCCUUCGUAUAACACGGAUACAGAGGCUAAUAUUCCAAACUCGAACUUAGAUUAACCUGGGGCCAGCACAGGCCACUGGAAAAAGUUAAAACAUGCUCUGUUCCCCUCCACACUCCUCACUCACUUUUCCAUUAUGGAAAAAGUCUGAAUUUGGUUUUUAAAAAAUUUUUGUUGUGUUUCUACAGUCGAUUGUUUGGUUAGUGACUUUGCCAGCUUCCUGGAUACUCAUUUCUGGUUCUGCACAAAACAGCCUCGUUUCCUUUUGGAAUCAAGAUCAGGCGGGGAAGUGGACUCAGAACCGUGAGUGUCCCCAACCCUUUCAUCCCUGAUUCAGCUUGGGGUGACUCUCCGCAGCCUCCCGGCUCUGGAGGGCCAGCGCAGUCAGCCUUAGCUCUGCUCUCUGCUUUUAGGAAGGAGAUUCUAGAAUUUCUACACAAACAUCACAUAGGAAGGCAGGGAGGGACUUCUAUUUUCAUUUUAAGGCUCUAAAAGAUGGAGAAAGUAAACAGGGCGGGCUGCUUUAUCUCAGGGGUUCACGGUGAGUCCCUAUUGAAUUUACCAAAUAAAAUGAAUUUCAAAAUUUUCAUUUUCUCAUUUUAUUCCAGCAGAAAAUGAGUUUGCCUUUAUAAUAUCCAGAGCUUUCAAACUCUAUUGAGUGAGAAAUUAAGUUACAGAAAGUAAAUACUCUGGUCUCUGCACACACCCGAAACGAGACAGUCUGUGACUGUAAUAUGAUAGCAAGCCCAGCUUUGGGUUCCGAGAUCACUUAUUAUUUUUUUUUUAUGAUGUAUAAUAAAGAGAAACAAGACCCGGCAAAAAUGUUCCUCUUUUAGAAUUGGUGAACUGUGAUACAAAAUAAAUUUGAUUGCAAUUUUAAUUUGUAAACCUAAGUUGCCAAUUUUUAAAAAAAUCUUCCAAAUGUCCCAAAACACUGAAGGAAUUGUAAAGAAAACAAAAAUGAAUGUUACAGGCCACAGGAAAUUCUAUCUUUAUAUAUAGAAACACACAUGUAAAUCAGCCUCUCUGGUGACAAGAAUACCUUGACUUUAAUUACAAAGAGAAAGCAAUAUCUGAACCACAAGACAAAGCCAGCCACACUAGGAGCGGACUGUGAGGAAGGCAGGGCGGUUAUUUGCAUAGGAAAAUCCAGAAACCGACAUUAGGCAGAUGUGGAAUUGGAGUGUGAUUAUAUUUAUAACAAAAGCUACAUAAAUGUAAAAAAAGAAAGUUAUUUUGCUUAAGUGCCUGAAAAAAAAUUGAAAUAAUAUUUGGGUUACUCCCGUCCUGUGCUUUGUGUUCUGGAAGCCCAUGGGGUCCAGGAAGGAUUAAAGAACUCGACCAGGGGCUGGAGCAACGGCUCAGCCUUUAAGAGCUCUUGCUGCUCUUUCAGAGGAUCCGUGUUUGAGUCCCAGCAUCCAUAUCAGGUGGCUCGAAACUUUCUGUAACUCCAGCUCCACAUGAUUCAAUGCCUCUAUCUUCACUGUCACCCACACAUGUACACACACACACACACACACACACACACACACACACACACACACACAUACACACGGUAUUUGUUUUUAAAGCACUUUACCCCAAUCAGCAAGGUGUGUGUAUUGUGUGUUUGUGGAUGUGCAUAUGUAUAGAUGCAUGUAUGUGUGCAGUGCACAUGUGUGUAGGGAUGGGUGCAUGUAUACAUUGAGUGUGUGUGUGUGUGUGUGUGUGUGUGUGUGUGUGUGUGUGUGUGUGUGUUUGGUGUGUUUGUGUGUAUGUCUAGCAUCCCCAACUCCAGGAGGUAUAUAGAGGGAAAAAUGGAAAGGAAGAUAUCUUUUACCCUAGAAAUUCACUGCUUAGCACAAAACUCUUAAAUAGUUAAAAACAACAAUUUUCUUAAUUAAAAAAAGAGAAAGAAAAGGAAAGUGGUAGGCAACGGGCCAGACACCCAAGGCUCACACAGAGAUGCAGGCUGUCGUUUCUCUGUGCUUUUCAAUCAGUCUGCAUUCCUUUUCUUCACUCCAGACGCCUUAGCAGAAAGCGCCCUUCUCUGGCCGUCUGGCGACUGUCCAGCAGAUGGUGCUGUGACUUCUAGAGACAUGAGGGAAGGAUGGGGGUGGGAAAGGCAGGACAGUGAGGUCUGCUGCAAGCCUGUCCCUGCCUCUCUUCUAGCGAGCGAGCGAGCAAGCGAGCGCUCUGCAGAAAGAUGAGAUACUUCUGUGAGGCCUCUGCAAGGUGCCAGCUCUCAAAGAGUAUUUAAAGUAGUUAAGCCAGAUGUCUGUCACCAAAUGUCUGAUCCCUAGGAAAGGGCCUGGGAGAGAUGCUUCCAGCAAGGGGCGGAUAGAGGUGUGAGAAGCUUAGGGGCCACUUUAUUUCACAAGGUGACUGACCAUGUAGAAGAGGAUGACACCUUUGCUCUUCUUCCUCUAUCAUCAUGGAGACCGGCUAUCAGUGGAAUUGUGAUGAAGGUGAAUUGACAGGUGUCAAUCAUGAUGGGGACCCAGUCUCUCUGGAUGGUGGAGAGCGGCUGAGCCUUAGCCGCUGUGUGUCUGAGCACCUGGCUGCCAGCUUUCUCUUCUGUCACUGUCUCCCGGUUGGGAAGAGGUUUCACUUUAUUCCUCAAAUGAACAUUUUUUUUUCUACCCUUCUCCCUAAGAAUCGUGGUCACGCUGUUCAAUGCAUGAAUGUUUAAAUUAAAACAAUUUUAAGACAUUUGCAGAUGACCCUGACGGACAUGUGACUCAUUAAUUUCUUUUAGCCAACUGUUAGCCGUAUCAUUUUUAAUUUAAAAGGCAGUCUGCAUGUCGGCAAAAUAUCUCAAACAAUCUGGAAUUCAACAAAAGCAGCACAAAGAUUUAUUUCCUUUUCUAAGAAUGGUGCUAUUUCUUCUUGGGGAUGAGUGUGAGGGGGUUGCCUAUGAUUCCACACUUGAAGUACUAGUUAAAGACAGAACUGUGGGGGAGAAACGUGACUUCAUCUGGUCUGGUAGUAAUUAAUCUUAUAUCGUUUUUUAAAUUUUUAAUUGAAUGACACACUGGCUUUUAUGCUUGUAUGUAUUUACAAAUUGUACAAGUUAGUUACCCACCGUUCACAGCAAGGGCCUGUGUAUUAAUAAAAUGAUUGUGGAAAAAAAAACCCCAGCUGUUUAAAUAAAUUCUGUUCUGGUUUAAAGAUUCUGCCCUUUGGGAAAAAGUCAUUCAGAACUGAGCGGCAGACACCAGUGAACAGUUACCAUGUAAAUAAAUCUUCCUGUAACUUAGUGCUAUUUUUCUUGUGCAAGAUACUAACACAUUAAAAAAUAAACUUUGUGUGUUGGGC